UGGGAAUAUUGCGCAAUGGGCGAAAGCCUGACGCAGCGACGCCGCGUGGGGAUGACGGCCUUCGGGUUGUAAACCUCUUUCAGCAGGGACGAAGCGAAAGUGACGGUACCUGCAGAAGAAGCACCGGCCAACUACGUGCCAGCAGCCGCGGUAAUACGUAGGGUGCAAGCGUUGUCCGGAAUUAUUGGGCGUAAAGAGCUCGUAGGCGGUUUGUUGCGUCGGCAUGUGAAAACCCUGAGGCUCAACCUCAGGCCUGCAGUCGAUACGAGCAGACUAGAGUGUUGCAGGGGAGACUGGAAUUCCUGGUGUAGCGGUGAAAUGCGCAGAUAUCAGGAGGAACACCGGUGGCGAAGGCGGGUCUCUGGGCAACAACUGACGCUGAGGAGCGAAAGCGUGGGGAGCGAACAGGAUUAGAUACCCUGGUAGUCCACGCCGUAAACGUUGGGCGCUAGGUGUGGGGCUCAUUCCACGAGUUCCGUGCCGCAGCUAACGCAUUAAGCGCCCCGCCUGGGGAGUACGG
This 520-nucleotide ribosomal RNA is filed under the name uncultured bacterium. RNAcentral's name for it is "partial 16S ribosomal RNA". It matches the Rfam family "Bacterial small subunit ribosomal RNA", at positions 356 to 885 of the family's 1533-position model. The record is from RNAcentral.